CAAUGAUGUAAUUUUUUUUAAAAAACAAAUAGUUUAACUGAUGAAUUGUAAGUAUAAUUUACCUUAACCAAGGAAAAGUCUAUACCAAUUAACUACAGCAUGAAUUUAUUAAUAAAGAUCACAUGAAAUGAAAACAUGUUCUUUUUCAUAAUGUGACUAAUUCUCUACAGCCGUUAUUCAGGAUAGUUAUUUAAGCAAUUUAUUUUCCAAACUUCUCAUUAAAUAUAUCAAUGCCUCCUAAAAUGUUUCCGCAUACAUGUACAUGGAAGUGUUAAAAACAAAUCAACAUACUUAGAUAAUAUAGGUUACUAUACAUAGUUCAUUGAAAUUGCUAACAUCCGGAACAUUUGUUUAAUAUCGUACUUUUUAUAGCUGUAACAAAAUUUCUAAAAGUACGUAACGUAUUGUCAAUUUGACCAACGUAUAGACUACUAUAGCUACAAUGAAUACAAUGGAACUUUGAUUUUCUACCAUUGUACAUGUAAAAACGUAUUAAAUUUCGAUCUAAUUUCAUUUUAUAUCUAUGAAACUUAAUACUACGGCGAAAUCUUUGAAAAAAGUGACGGGCAUCAAAAGUGAAAGUCAAAACAAACAGUCCUCACUACUGCCGCCUUUAGCGCCAUUCAAUGGUCAAAAUGUUUGAUACGUCACCUGCAGAUGAUAAUGUCUCUUUAUGAGUGUGAAGUCUCAAAUGGAACGUAAAACAACAUGCUGUGAAACAUUCAUGUCCUUUAGUAAUAAGGUAGGAUUAUUCAACAUUUUUCACCCACGGGGAACACUUUCCGUUCAGACAUCUCUUCAUUUCUGGUAACCACCCGACCAACCAGUGCGUCACAACACACAACAAAAGCGAAAGUAGGAAUGCCAGAUACUGGAAUAAAGCAAACAAAUGAUACAUGAAAGCACUUUGUAAAGACUCGGUCGUAUCCAUUGGAACCUAUGAAUAACUGACUUGAGACAGGCUGUCGGUGAGUAUAUUUCAACUUUUGAAAUCGGGUAGUAUGAUUAUUAUAUAUCUUAUUAUCGAUUAUUUUGUUUGCAUACAAAACUAGGUAUAUCUAUGUAUGUCAUAAAUUCUGUGUGAUCGUUUUCAAACUUUCAAAUAAUUUAAGAUAUGUAACAGGAAGAGAGAAAAUGCAACGGUCCAGACCAGAUCACUGGUCUGCAGAAAAUACACUGAAUCUCCGGUUAGAUGUUCUACCAAUUGAACUCUCUGUGCACUGGCGAUCGAACCCGUCUAGCUGCCAGAUUCCUUAGUUUAAUGUCUUUACAUCGAUUUCCUGGAAGAUGUUUUCACCUGUCUGUUCCAGGGGCUGGUCAUAGCACUAAAUGUAACAGGAAGGGAGAGAAUGCAACGGACGAGACAAGGAUUUGCACCAGGCCCCCUGAAUCUCUAGUUAGAUUAACUACCAACUGGGCUACCUGUCCACUGGUAUUCGAACCCCUCUGUCCGUAACAGAUACUUUUAGUAAACUUGAAGUGGCUAAGAGUUUCUCAAAUCAACAACAUCAAAAUAUUUGCCUUUUCAACACUUUAAAAGACCAUUCCUCGCGAUGAAUUAAAGACUAGCCUUUUUGACAUCAUGCACAGUUGUUUCUCCAACAAAAAUGGAAAACGGAAAUAUUCAUACAUAAUGAUCAGUCAUCAAAAAAUUACGUUGUUAAAUAUAACUCUGAUUCCACGCACAAGUACUCUGAAGUUGAAAUAAAAUUAUGCUAGAGUACCUCAUUCACAAUAUUUUCGUGGUCUUUGGUGAUCAGGUCUUCCAACAGUCUGUUGGAAUCUCCAUGGGUACGAAUUGUGCUCCUUUGUUAGGUGAUCUGUUUUUAAAUUCAUAUGAAUAUGAGAUUGAUCACUGUUCGUUAUCUUCACCUUUCAUGAAGCAGAAUUCAUUCAAAAACGUCUACGUGAAUAGAAAUAAAAUAUCCUUACGACAUUUAGAUAUUUUUACACAUAUUUCAGCUUGUCUGUAAAUAUGUGUCAUUAUUUAAGCGCCCCCUUUUACUUCUAUGAGUAAUAUUGCAUUGAAGUAGAUGAGUGUUAUUGUGUCAUUUAAUUUAGGCAUCAAUGCCAGGUAUGUAUAUAAUCCGGAAUUGUUUUCUGGAUUUUAACAGGCAUCAUUCUAAAUUCACUGCAGCAUCACUUCCCUUUUCCAUUUUGCAGCAUUCGAGAAGGUCGGUAAAUAUUUUAGAGCGGAGAAAUUUGAAACACCCACCCAACUCACCCUCUUUCUGCUGUUUAGAUCUUUCGUUUCAGAUAUCGCUUGCUGUCAGCAUACCUGGACCUUCCAUACUUGCACAACUCAUCACAAUGACAUUCAAAUGGAGUCUUAGUGGUUCGGGGCGAAAUCGUCACCUUCAAAUCGGAUGUUAUAUUGUGAUGUUGACAAUUGAUGUGUGGAUGUUGAUUUAUGAAUUUUUAUUUGUAUAUUGACAAAUACAAUAAGGUUACAAGUUGAAUACAUAUUUUAAGGCAAUGUAUAUUGGGUGUGUCAGUAGUUUGAUUGUGAUUACACAGCAGGCUACUUGCCCAUUCGGACGACACAAAAAUAUUGUCGGGGUGAACCCUGUUGUUCGGUGACCCCACCGUUGUUGGUUGUAAAUGUUGUUUCUGACCACCGUAGCCAUUAUCUGCCGAAAAUCAAUUGUUAUCUAAACACUUGUAUUGCGUUUCAUCUCAAUAAUCCAUCAGGAAGUAUAUCGUAUAAUUCCCAAUAUACGUUUAUGUUUGGGAAAGCUGAACUAAUCAUUUAAUGCAGUCUUAGAUAACGACGACGUUUUAUCUAACAAUAAUCACUUUCAUUCAUAUGUCGAUUCAAUAUAUCCCUCUGAACUCGAAAUAAAGGACACCACAGAGUCGUCCACUUCUGCUUGAUACUUACAUAUUUUAUUGAAAGUAGAUAUUAACGGCAAACUAACAACUCAACUUGAUUUCAGCUUAUCCGUAGUCAACUUCCUAUAUUUAUGUAGCAAUAUUCCAUUAUCACCUGCAUAUGGUGUUUAUAUUGCUCAACUGAUUCGAUCCGUAAGAUCUUGUUCUGCGAAUGGUCAGUUUUUAAAUCGAGGCAAGCUUCUGACAAACAAGUUGAUGGUGCAGGGGUUCCAACAGUCUCGUCUGCCACCGUAGCCUGUCAUUGGGCCAAAUGCUGUCUGGCGUGUUUUAUGCACACUGAUUUUGACUACGGAUAACUCCGUUUGCCUGAUCAAGAUAUAAGGUUCACGGUGGGUGUGACCGGUCGACAGGGGAUGCUUACUCCUCCUAGGCACUUGAUCCCACCUCUGGUGUGUCGAGGGGUCCGUAUUUGCUUAACUCUCUAUUUUGUAUUGCUUAUAGGAGUUAUUAUAUUGAUCACCGUACGUUAUAUACACCUUUCAUGAUGGUUUGUUUUAAUCUGGAAUGUUGAUUAAAAAACUUUAUCUCCC
This is an RNA transcript of Ostrea edulis (European flat oyster), 3422 nucleotides long. RefSeq lists it as uncharacterized. The record is from RefSeq and is a predicted model, not a curated record. Lineage: Eukaryota; Metazoa; Mollusca; Bivalvia; Ostreida; Ostreidae. The transcript has 3 exons.